This 274-nucleotide ribosomal RNA is filed under the name uncultured bacterium. RNAcentral describes it as "partial 16S ribosomal RNA". It matches the Rfam family "Bacterial small subunit ribosomal RNA", at positions 523 to 796 of the family's 1533-position model. The record is from RNAcentral.
CUACAGAGGGUGCGAGCGUUAAUCGGAAUUACUGGGCGUAAAGCGCGCGUAGGCGGUUUGUUAAGUCGGAUGUGAAAUCCCCGGGCUCAACCUGGGAAUUGCAUUCGAAACUGCAUGACUAGAGUCUGAUAGAGGGAAGUGGAAUUUCCGGUGUAGCGGUGAAAUGCGUAGAUAUCGGAAGGAACAUCAGUGGCGAAGGCGGCUUCCUGGAUUAAGACUGACACUAAGGUGCGAAAGCGUGGGGAGCAAACAGGAUUAGAAACCCCAGUAGUCC